ACAGAGCUCCUGCUAGGGGAUCGGGAAGGAGUGGCAUUGGCAAUUCAAGAUUGUCUUUCCUACCCUUUUUAGUGCCUCUCUCCUUAAUAUAAUGGUAAAACCAGGUACUGUGAUCAUUCACCUGAUUUUUGGUUCUUAUGAAGGUGCUUUUUAUUGUGUAGAUAGUUGUUUCAUUUGGCAUUCUUGUUGGGGGGAUUAUGGCUGGCGGCUUCUAUUUGGCCACCUUGCCCCACCUCCCCCUCUUUACCUUUUUUUUAACGGUAAGUCUGCUAGUGACAGAUCCCUUUAAUCUUCCUUUGUCUGAGAAUAUCUUUUUUAACGGUAAGUCUGCUAGUGACAGAUCCCUUUAAUCUUCCUUUGUCUGAGAAUAUCUUUUUUCCCCUUCAUUCCUGAAGGAUAGUUUUGCCAGACAUAGAUUUUGUGAUUGACAAUUUCUUUUUCAGUACUUGAAAAAGGUGUCAUUUCAUUUUUCCCUCCAUGUUGUCAGAAAUCUGCUGUCAUUUGAAUUGGUGUUUCUCUAUAGGAAAUGUAUUGCUUCUUUCUGAUUGAUUUCCAGAGUUUUUCUUUGUUUUUAAUUCAUAAGUUUAAUUCUGAUAUUUCUUAGCUUUGAUUGUUGUUGUUUGUUGUGCUUGGGAUUUACUCAGUUUCUUGAAUUUGUGCGUUUAUCUUUUGCUUAAUUUGGUUAAUUUUCAAUCAUUAUUUCUUCAAAUACUCUUUUGGCUCCACUCUUUUAUCUUCUCCUUUUGGAGCUCUGAUGACAUGAAAACUGGAUAUAUUGUUAUUGUCCCACAGGUCCUUGAAGGUUUGUUAAAUUUUUUCAGUUAAUUUCCCUCUUGUUAAGAUUGGGCAAAUUCUAUUAAUAUGCCCUCAAUCUCAUUGAUGUUAUCUUUUGUCAUUUCCACUGUACUAUUGAGCCCAUUCAGUGAAUUAUUUCUCUUAUUAUAAUAAUUUUCAGCUCUUAAUUUCCAUUUAGUUAUUUUUAUAACUUGUUUCUUUGCUGAGACUUUAUUUUUCAUUUGUUUCAAAUAACUUGUAAUUGCUUGUUUAAUCAUUUGUAUGAUUAUUGCUUUAAGACUCUUGUCACAUAUUUUGAACAUAUGAUUCAUCUCACUGUUGACAUCAUUUAAAUGUCUUUUUUUUUUCAUUCAUUCAAGUUGUGAUUUUCCUGCUUCCUAAUGUAGAAUGACUUUCAAUUGUGUCUCAGACAUUUUGGCUAUUACAUUAGAAGACUUUGGGUUCCACCUAACUUUUUAAUUUUAGCAGGCACUCACCCUGUUUAGAUUUAACAUGCAAGUCCUGGCCUACUUUUUGGGCUGUGAUUCCAAUGACAAUAUCAUUUCAGAGCCUUUAUGGCACUAUUUUUGUCCGUUUGGUUCAUCUCUUCCCACUGGGGUCCCACUGAUCCCUGCUUAUGUUGUUUGAGAGUGCUGAAGAAGCUUGCUCAGGCCAAGCUGCCUGGAGCUUGAAGGUAAAGAAAGGGAGCCUCUUUGCUUCAGAGAUGAAUGGCAUUUCCUGAUGCUUGUUAUAGAAGCCUCCUCCUGUCUGUGGAGGAUGAAGAGUGCCUCUGUAGUUGGGUGCUUAUUGUGGUAGGGCUCCUCUGAGUGUCUCUGAGUGGGAGCAAUGAGUCUUAAGCCAGCAAGAACAAAUAGGCUUCCCAGACUGGGUGCAUCUCGUGGCAGUCUUCCUCACUGUCUGUGGGAAAUGGAGAGCGCCUCCCAGGCCACACACUUAUUGUGGCAUAAUCUCACUUGUCAAUCCCUCCACUUCCCCACACAACCCUCAACAUACGUGGUAUCUCUAAGGGGCAGAGAGGAGCCUCAAGGCCAGUGGGAAACGAGAAUGCUUUCCCAGCUAGCACUUGCUAUGUCAUAAUCCCCUUUGCCAAUGCCAGUAGUGGUGUGGUGUCACUGGGUGAGUGAGGUUGUAGAGUGCUUAUGGUCACUUCUGGUCAGGAUGGUCGCUUAUUUUCAGUGUGGCUUCUGAUUGAUUCCCCUUGCUGGUCCUGCUAGGUAUGCAUAAUGUUGUUGUUGGGACUCCUCUUCCAUCUGGGGGACAAAUGAGCUUACAUUAGCUGCCCUUUCUCUUAAUAGGUUAGAGAUUGGGGAAGUGCCACCUCUGUGUGUCCUUCUUGGCUUUCUUCUGUUGGGUGAUAGUUCAUAAGAUGCCCUGCCACGAUGAUGUUCCUCCAGUCCUGUAGUCCCUCUUCCACCUUUCAGAGCAUUUCUCUGGUUGUCUCUUGAGUUAGUUUCAGGAUUUAUAGUUAUACUUAGCAGGGAGAAAGGAAUAGAGGUAGGUCUCUACCAUCUUGUUCAGACCAUAAAUCUCAUCUUUCUUUUUAAUCUCUGUUUUAGUGAUCUUUAGUAAUCUUACAAUUCUCUUUACUAUCACUUUUAACUUUUUCAGCUUUUGUACUCAACAGAUAUUAAAGAGUUAAUAAUAUUUGUAAAACACCUUAGAAUCCAGUACAAAAUCAACAAAUAUGCAUCCAUAUAACAAAUACUGUGAGAACAGAUACUAAAAUGUUGGUAUGUAAACACUUAAAACACAGUACUUUUGUUGGAAUAAGUCUUUAUUCCCGUAUAAGCUUGUAAGUAAGGAAGAUUUACAUAUUUGCAAUUAUAGUGAUCUUUUAUUUAGUUCUUAGUGUACUCAGAUAAUGCUAAGGUCUUUAAUAUAUUACAUCACGGACUCUUGACAAUAACCAUAUAUGGUAGUGUAGUGAGUUGAAUAGUGUCCCUCCAAAAUGAUAGUCCAAUUCCUAACCCCCAGUACCAGUGAACAUGACUUUAUUUGGAAAAAGGGUCUUUGCAGAUGUAAUUAAGUAAAGGAUUUCAAGAUGAGAUCAUCCUGGACUAUGGUGGGCUCUAAAUCCAAUGACUGGUGUCUUAAUAAGAGGAAGGAGAGAGAUUUGAGACACAGAGAAAUAAGGUCAUGUGAAGAUGGAAGCAGAGAUUGAAAGUAUGUUGUUGCAAGCCAAGAAAAGUCAAGGGUUGCCAUUAACCACCAGAAGCCAGGAGUGAAGCGUGGAAUGGAUUUUCCCUCAGAGCUUUCAGAAGAAACCAAUCCUGCCAACUUCUUGAUUUUGGACUUCUGUCCUUCAAAAAUGUGAGAGAAUAAAUUUCUACAGUUUUAAGCCAGUAAGUUUGUAAUAAUUUGUUAUGGCAGAGCUAGGUCACGAGUACAGGUAGUAUUAUAAAUCUCCAUUUUACAAAUGAGGAAACAGGAUCAGGAAUGUUAAGUGACUGGCAUAAGUUACACAGCUAGUAAGAAGUGGAGCUGGGAAUUAAGCUGGAGACUAUCUACUGCAAAGCUUUUAUUUUUCAACCUUAACCUUUUAAAAUUUCAUUGAUAACAAGUUAAAAACAGCAUCAUAACCUCCACACUUCUCACUCCUCUAACCCUUCCUCCAGGGACCUCUCCCUAUCUCAAGACAUCCAUUCCUCUUACAGACUCUGAGUUCUUCUAUCUCACGGCAAAUUAAACUGGUUCUAGGGGAGAGGGCAGUGUUUAACACAAAGGCAAAACCUCUGAUAAGGAGUCUUCAGAUCACGAGCAACAGAUCAGAGGUAGAGAUGGUUUUAGGCAGAACAGGGCCUGUCAGUUCACAUCAUCCAUGGUGAUGCCUUGUUUCAACCACACUUAAAGCUAGCACAUCCAUCGUUUUGAGGAUUAGGCUGCAGAAAAAGACAUUUGCCUCAUGGAACUCAGUCUGUGGACAUUGAAAGUAAGUAAGGGCUGUCAUCCAAUUCACCCCCUGCCAAGAAACCUUGUAUCAGGUGCUGGGGAGGAAAGCAGCAGUUGUUACUUCCCUGUGGAUCAUCUAAAAGUGUUUCUUUGUUAAUAGGAUGUCAUUAAACAUUAUGCACACUUGGCUGGAUAUUAAAAUUAUAGAUGAAAACAUUUUUUUAAAAAUGUGUGCAUGUAAAAAUAAGCUCAUGUGUGAGAACAGAGUGGCUAAGCAGCAGACGGCACACUCUGGGGCUGGGGGCCCUGAUGCCAUGUGUGUCACCAAAUUUGGUUUCACUAAGUCAUUUCAAUAUCAAAUAGUGAGAGCACCUACUGUGUGGCAGGCCUUGUUCUGAGUGAUUCUCUGCUUGGUGUCAGCUACACUGGAUACAUUCUUAACUCACCAUUCUCUGAAUAUAACUAAGAUAAACAGAAUGUCACUUUUUUCUUGCUUCUUUUGGCAGGAAUUAGGAAAAAAUAGGAACAGAUAAUUAUACACUAGAGCCAAAUAGACCUGAGACUGAAUUCUGUUUUAACCUUGACCUUUCCAAAUGGAAUAUUUCACAUUCAUUCAGCUAACAACCUUGAACAAAUGGCUCAGUGGUUAAAAGUCAGAGAAAGAAUUAACAACAGUCAGUUAUUUUCUGAAAGACUAGCCAAAGAAUAGUUUCCAAAAUACUAAUUACUUAAAUCUUGCUGGAAAAAAAUAUUCAAACACAUUUUUAAGUUUUAUUGUUUGGAUCAACACGGACAUAAGAAAAUUAUCAGUGUACUUAUAUCUUAUGAUUAUAUGAGUCUUUGCCUCAGAAUAAUUCUCUCUGAGAACUUUAAGGAACAAAAUAUUUCCUUAGUAGCAAAACAUUUCAUGUGGCAAGAGCCUCACUGAGUAAAGUUCAGUGUGAGAGUAGAACCCGGUGCCAUGAUUGUACAACUUCUACAGCUUGUCUUGUGGUCUAGUCAGUCAUGGAGAAGGUCCCCCAUUCUAGAACAGACCCAAUGUAAAGCCAUUCUUUGGAUUCCAAUCUGCCAUAGGCUGUCUGUAAAAUAUGGCAUGCUUGAAGUUGGGCUGGAGGUUGACUCUGAAAGAUAAUGCUUCAACAACACAUCUAAUAUCAGAAGUAGGAAUAUUCUUGAUGAUAAAGAGCUUUUUGAAAGGGUCUGUUGCAUGAUUGAAUGAUGAUGGUGAAGCCUGCCUUGAAUUUUAUGGGGUUAUCUGCCAUUUGAUACAUGCAAGCAACAAGGAUCUCCUAGGUCUGAAGGAAUAGCAUAAAUAAAAAAGAAAAAGGUAUAGAUAAUUACAAUAAUUUUUAUUUGCCUAGAUGAGUGGUAGACAUUUAUGUAAUAUUACUAGCAUAAAUCUACAAAACUCCUUUAGUGAGUCUUAGAUGCCAUCAGACAGAAAUGAUUUUACCUUGAGGGUGAGGUGAGGGGGUGCACUAUGUACCAGUGAGCAAGUAAAGCUCAAAAAAGGUGGUCUUCUUCCUGAGUAUCGAUUUUACUUACAUUUGAGAAAAGCUAUUAUUUUUACUAGAGUGUGGCACCCUAUCAGAGCUUAUGUAUUUCUUCUCCAGUGGAAGAAGCAAUCAGCUGUCUGCCACACACAGACAGCUAGAUCCUCAUAGAAGGGGUUUUGGAAGGGUUCCUUUUCAUUAAGCCAAUGGAAGGCAAGCCUAGGAAAAAGAUAUUGUGAGGACUCAUUUAACUCAGCAAAGCAAACUUCUACUUCUUAUUACCUAGUUCAGGUAGAGUCCUGGGAGGUGGUAGAAAAUUUUGCAUGAGGAGUUAUGGGGUCCUCCAUUUCCUUCUCUGCUAUUCUUGGUCAGAGGGUUUCCAGCUUUAAUCCAUAAGCAGAUACUUAUGCACUGGCCAUGCUUGGAAGUUGUCAGGAGGCUGACCUGCAUGCUUCUCAGUCAUUGACAUGCAAAGGCAGGGCGCUCCAGCAUUAGGUGUCUGCCAAAAAGCUGGGUCUCUGGCUUUCAAUCCACCAUCACCCUUUUCUGACUACUGCCCUGUGUCUUCCAGAGCAUUUUUGUCAUGUACCCUUUCUGCCUCUAACAUUGGUGCAUUAACACCUCUUCCUUCCACACUGCAGUUGUGCCCCCUCAUAAAAAGGUUGAGCCCUCAGUGGCGAUUCCUUUCAGGAACAGGGCAGAUGACUUGUCCAAUGGUGUGUUCCCAUGCUGAGUGUGAAACUAGUGGAAGACUUGCACUGGGGAGUCAAAAUCGACUUUUAUCCUGCAGUGCUGGUGUGUGAGGAACCUAUGGGAUGUGAUCAGGACUAAGGAGACUUCAGGAGAGUGGAAGAGCAGACUCCCACCACUGUGUGGCUCUGCAGAUUAGAGCCAGAGACUGACCAAGCAGAGAAAUGAUUGCUAGAUGAUCCAUGUUACUCCAAGAGGGGCAGUUAUUCUUAACCAUAUUUACCACCUUAACCAGAAACCUGGCCUCCCCUGCAAGAAGCAGUAGAGAUGUUCAUUUUUUUUUUUAAUUUUUAACUUUGAAAAACUAAAUCAUUGGAGGCCAGGGUGUAUAUCAACUUCAAUAGCCCUAAUUUCUUUCUAUCUAUCUAUCUAUCUAGCUAGCUAGCUAGCUAGCUAUCAUCUAGCUAUCCAGAUCAGGGUUUCUCAAACUUGGC
This 6361-nucleotide long non-coding RNA is filed under the name Homo sapiens (human). Its description in RNAcentral is "non-protein coding lnc-KDM6A-7:1". Lineage: Eukaryota; Metazoa; Chordata; Mammalia; Primates; Hominidae. The record is from RNAcentral.